AGCAUAGAACCAGAUUUCGGAUUUUUUGUAUAAAUUGCUGUAUGAGCGUGAACUACAACAGAUGAAUUUUUUGAGAACCGUCUAUGCUA
This is a non-coding RNA of Bombyx mori (domestic silkworm), 89 nucleotides long. The record is from RefSeq and is marked provisional. NCBI's taxonomy places the organism in Eukaryota, Metazoa, Arthropoda, Insecta, Lepidoptera, Bombycidae.